GGAGUAUGGACCGUGUCUCAGUUCCAUUGUGGCCGUUCAUCCUCUCAGACCGGCUACCGAUCGUCGGCUUGGUGCGCUUUUAUCACACCAACUACCUAAUCGGACGCAGGCUCCUCGCAAAGCGAUAAAUCUUUAGUAAAACUCCCAUGCGAGAAUCUUACAACAUCCGGUAUUAGCGUCCCUUUCGGGACGUUGUCCCCGACUUUGCGGCAGAUUACCUGCGCUUUACUCACCCGUUCGCCACUAAACCCGAAGGUUCCGUUCGACUUGCAUGUGUUAAGCACGCCGCCAGCGUUCGUC
This 300-nucleotide ribosomal RNA is filed under the name uncultured Veillonellaceae bacterium. Its description in RNAcentral is "partial 16S ribosomal RNA". Lineage: Bacteria; Bacillati; Bacillota; Negativicutes; Veillonellales; Veillonellaceae. The record is from RNAcentral.